UACGUAGGGUCCGAGCGUUGUCCGGAAUUACUGGGCGUAAAGAGCUCGUAGGUGGUUUGUCGCGUUGUUCGUGAAAACUCACAGCUUAACUGUGGGCGUGCGGGCGAUACGGGCAGACUAGAGUACUGCAGGGGAGACUGGAAUUCCUGGUGUAGCGGUGGAAUGCGCAGAUAUCAGGAGGAACACCGGUGGCGAAGGCGGGUCUCUGGG
RNAcentral lists this ribosomal RNA (210 nucleotides) under uncultured bacterium. RNAcentral describes it as "partial 16S ribosomal RNA". It matches the Rfam family "Bacterial small subunit ribosomal RNA", at positions 524 to 733 of the family's 1533-position model. The record is from RNAcentral.